Molecule: non-coding RNA, 84 nt
Organism: Bombyx mori (domestic silkworm)
Lineage: Eukaryota; Metazoa; Arthropoda; Insecta; Lepidoptera; Bombycidae
Source: Rfam
UUAACUCAAAUUUGUAUGGAGUUGGAACGUUUGCCUACGUUUGCCGCUAGGAGCGCUGUUCCAACUGCAUACACAUUUAAAUUA